AAGAUACAACACAAAUACUGAUAUUUUGUAAGAUACAUUACAAAAUAUCAUAAUCUGUGUUGUGGCAGAUGUGAUCGCUGUAAUCUGAUUCGUUCUAGUUCUUGUCUGAUUAAACAGUUUUUUUCUUUAAAUUCUGCAAGUUUUUAUUAUUAUCUUUGGUUUCUCAUAUUUGCCCAUGACUUUAAAAAGCGGAAGUAUGUAGUGCAGAUUAGAUUACAACUUGAAAUCAGCAGUGCUCAGCAAUGUCUUUUCAAAAUAAAAAUGCAUCAUAUUUAAUGUUUGCUAUGUUUAGAUUAUGUGUAUUAUUCUAUUUAACUUGGUAAUGUGCAGCUUCCCCUACCUUAAAAUACUGUACAGCACUGAGAUGUCACCUCAUAUUCCUGAACACAUGGAAAAUGGUAAAUUUACUCAAUGUUGUUGGAUUGGAUCAACUGCAUCAAACCCAGAAGGUUACAGGUUUUUCAAGCUUUUUACUCUUAAAGUAACAAGUUGCUUAGAUGCCGGUACAUGAAUACUGCUGCUUUGUAACAACAAUCUCAAAAAUUACAACUAAUGGGUUAGACAUGAAAUUUUACUGUACUCUGUACUUGUGACAAUACUAUUGUUAUAGACCACUGCCUGUUCUUGGCAAAUGCUCCAGUUGUUAAAGGGCUAAAAUGUAAGGGUGUAGUCACACUAGGCCUGUUUGCUCCGUACCAUGUCCAAGCACGAUUGUCCCUGCUCCCUACACCUCUGCUGGCCUGCACUCACUAACUGCGCUUAACAUUCUGGGCCCGGGCACAGUUUCAUCAUGACCAUGACACUUCAUGUAAAGCCAAAACAAGAUCCAAACACGCUGUGACAGCAUGCAUGUCAAAAUGAUUUGACUUAUUUUGUGGUUGUUUUGGAUUUCUGUAGGGCAGAUAACACUCUACCCUCUUACAGAUUUAUUGAGUAUGCAGUGCAGCGUUUUGCUGUUAAUCGUGCUGCAUAUAUGAGAGGAUUUUUACAGAGACAAAUGAUGUUAAGGAAGGAAUUUGCAGCUUUUCUUGCCAACUACAAUUCACAUUCAAGUGUAAGGAAGCUGCUUAAUUUAGCUGUAUACAAGACAAGAGAACUACUACAUAUACAGUAUGGCACAGAUGGCUGAGAUUUUGUGGAAAUGCUUCUGGUUAGUUCACUGUUGAGUCAACAGCUCCACCUACAGCUUGUCACAUGUAUAGCUGUCAUGAAAAUACACAAGCCUCAUAAAAACCUGUGAUGCAUGCCAAAUAUGGGAAAACCUGCCUGAUUUAACAUCACUUACGGUUCCAGC
Long non-coding RNA from Polypterus senegalus (gray bichir), 1294 nucleotides. RefSeq lists it as uncharacterized. Lineage: Eukaryota; Metazoa; Chordata; Cladistia; Polypteriformes; Polypteridae. The transcript is spliced from 3 exons. The record is from RefSeq and is a predicted model, not a curated record.